This 803-nucleotide ribosomal RNA is filed under the name uncultured Actinomycetes bacterium. RNAcentral's name for it is "bacterial SSU rRNA". It matches the Rfam family "Bacterial small subunit ribosomal RNA", at positions 73 to 853 of the family's 1533-position model. The record is from RNAcentral. Lineage: Bacteria; Bacillati; Actinomycetota; Actinomycetes.
GCUCCCUUCGGGGAGCAAGUAGAGUGGCGCACGGGUGAGUAACACGUAGGUAAUCUACCUUUGGAUGGGGAAUAACAACCGGAAACGGUUGCUAAUACCGCAUAAUGCAGCGGCACCUAAUGGUGACAGUUGUUAAAGCGGGGGAUCGCAAGACCUCGCGUCUGAAGAGGAGCCUGCGGCAGAUUAGCUAGUUGGUAAGGUAACGGCUUACCAAGGCGAUGAUCUGUAGCCGGCCUGAGAGGGCGGUCGGCCACACUGACACUGACAUACGGGUCAGACUCCUACGGGAGGCAGCAGUCGGGAACUUUGGGCAAUGGGCGAAAGCCUGACCCAGCAACGCCGCGUGAAGGAUGAAAUCCCUCGGGAUGUAAACUUCGCAAGAACGGGAAGAAUAAGUAAGAGUUAAUAUCUCUUACGAUGACGGUACUGUUUGUAAGCUCCGGCUAACUCCGUGCCAGCAGCCGCGGUAAUACGGGGGGAGCAAGCGUUGUUCGGAUUUACUGGGCGUAAAGGGCGCGUAGGCGGCCUCUGCAAGUCGACUGUGAAAUCUCCGGGCUUAACCCGGAAAGGUCAGCCGAUACUGCAGGGCUAGAGUGCAGAAGGGGCAACUGGAAUUCUCGGUGUAGCGGUGAAAUGCGUAGAUAUCGAGAGGAACACCUGCGGCGAAGGCGGGUUGCUGGGCUGACACUGACGCUGAGGCGCGAAAGCUAGGGGAGCGAACGGGAUUAGAUACCCCGGUAGUCCUAGCCUUAAACGAUGAAUGCUUGGUGUCUGGGGUUUUAUAGUCCCCGGGUGCCGUCGCU